RNAcentral lists this transfer RNA (69 nucleotides) under Ictidomys tridecemlineatus (thirteen-lined ground squirrel). Its description in RNAcentral is "Spermophilus tridecemlineatus (thirteen-lined ground squirrel) tRNA". It matches the Rfam family "tRNA". From Rfam's summary of the family: Transfer RNA (tRNA) molecules are approximately 80 nucleotides in length. The record is from Rfam by way of RNAcentral. Lineage: Eukaryota; Metazoa; Chordata; Mammalia; Rodentia; Sciuridae.
GGAGUUGUGGCUCAGUGGUAGAGCACUUGCCUGGCAUGUGUGCAACCCUGGGUUCAAUCCUCAGCGCCG